RNAcentral lists this transfer RNA (71 nucleotides) under Candidatus Bathyarchaeota archaeon. RNAcentral's name for it is "tRNA-Gly". It matches the Rfam family "tRNA". From Rfam's summary of the family: Transfer RNA (tRNA) molecules are approximately 80 nucleotides in length. Their secondary structure includes four short double-helical elements and three loops (D, anti-codon, and T loops). The record is from RNAcentral. Lineage: Archaea; Thermoproteati; Candidatus Bathyarchaeota.
GCGUCCGUUGUAUAGUGGUAUUAUGCGAGCCUGCCACGCUCGCGACCCGGGUUCGAAUCCCGGCGGACGCA